Chiloscyllium plagiosum (whitespotted bambooshark) is the source of this 1268-nucleotide non-coding RNA. The record is from RefSeq and is a predicted model, not a curated record. NCBI's taxonomy places the organism in Eukaryota, Metazoa, Chordata, Chondrichthyes, Orectolobiformes, Hemiscylliidae.
AACAGCCAGUAACAUUAACUUUUGACUCUGUCAAGUACAUCCCUCUAUAAAGAGCCUGUGCCGUGUGGCAAAUUAUUCAAGCAGUUUGCUGCCCAGAUGGUGGUAUUAAAAACUCCUCUGUUCUGCAGCAUUCCCAGCAGCAGAUGGAUCAAUUUCCUCUCUUGGGCAAAUAAGAGUAUGAUUUUUUCUCUCUCUCUCUCUCUCUCGUGAGCUUCACAAACCUUCCCGAAGAUAUUAACAGACUCUGGGUGCUGUUGUUGUGAAACCACAGUUCAACGAGUGGCUGCUGAAUCAACACCUCACCAUGAUCAAAGGCAAAGAGCAGAACUUUCAACUUUUUUGCUCCCUAGUGAUCGGGCUUAUUUCCUACUCUACACUUCAAGCAGUGGCUACGGGACACUGUCACACUCUGCAGUCGCCAAACCAUCCCCUGCCCCUACUGCCACUGACCAGACCCGGAACAUUCUCUCUGCCAAAGCUGUCUCAUCGCCACCGAGUCUGCAGCCACCACCAUAGCCAGGAGACUGUCCCAAUUCUCGAGGACCAGGACCCAUCUCAACCUCCAGAACCAACUGACCAUGCAAAUUAACUCCCGGGAACCCAAGGGAUCAUUCAAUCCGCUGCCACCGAAAUAUCAGAUGUAAAGAGUGGACCCCAAAUCACCGAUACUGGGACAGUUGCUCAAGCUGCGAUCGCCAUGGCCGCAGAGGAUGGACCGGAUUCACCACACAACAGCUGCCCCGCAAUGUCUCUCCAUUGCAAUGAAUUUGAUUGUUAAAGUUAAGAGAAGAUAAAGAAAAUAAGAAAAAUUAUAUGGUUGAUCAAGUGAGAUGGAUCAGAUGGGCCGGGAGCCUGAACACCUCCUAACUUGCCACCUUCACCAUCUUGAAUUGCCAUUGAUAUUAACAAGUGACUGGUAGCCCAGUAGCCACUUCCUCCAGCGCUGAUGAUACUAUAAGAAACACCCGGUGAAGUGGUUAUUCUUCCAGUUUAUCUAGCAGCAUUUAUUUCUGGUCCACUGAUGUGUCGCAGACUCAAUGAGGAUUGACAGAAGUCAAUAAUCAACCUGAACAUAUGCAAUGCAUUUCUGAUGUGAGUGAGGGGGCUCUGGAUUACUGUGUCUUUCAGUCGAAUUUGAUGUCAGAUCUCCACAAGUGCAGAUUAAAAACUCAGAAUAAAGCAAAGACAUUGCACAUUUUUUUUUCUGGUUGGUUUUGCUCUUUUCUUUUAUCUCCUUUAUUUAUUAGUUUUCUUUUCUUUUGGGCCUC